Molecule: non-coding RNA, 30 nt
Filed under: Homo sapiens (human)
Lineage: Eukaryota; Metazoa; Chordata; Mammalia; Primates; Hominidae
Source: RNAcentral
UGACUUAAAUGCCUAGAGACCUCGGGACCC